GAUGAACGCUGGCGGCGUGCCUAAUACAUGCAAGUCGAGCGAACAGACAAGGAGCUUGCUCCUUUGACGUUAGCGGCGGACGGGUGAGUAACACGUGGGUAACCUACCUAUAAGACUGGGAUAACUUCGGGAAACCGGAGCUAAUACCGGAUAAUAUUUCGAACCGCAUGGUUCGAUAGUGAAAGAUGGUUUUGCUAUCACUUAUAGAUGGACCCGUGCCGUAUUAGCUAGUUGGUAAGGUAACGGCUUACCAAGGCGACGAUACGUAGCCGACCUGAGAGGGUGAUCGGCCACACUGGAACUGAGACACGGUCCAGACUCCUACGGGAGGCAGCAGUAGGGAAUCUUCCGCAAUGGGCGAAAGCCUGACGGAGCAACGCCGCGUGAGUGAUGAAGGUCUUCGGAUCGUAAAACUCUGUUAUUAGGGAAGAACAUACGUGUAAGUAACUAUGCACGUCUUGACGGUACCUAAUCAGAAAGCCACGGCUAACUACGUGCCAGCAGCCGCGGUAAUACGUAGGUGGCAAGCGUUAUCCGGAAUUAUUGGGCGUAAAGCGCGCGUANGCGGUUUUUUAAGUCUGAUGUGAAAGCCCACGGCUCAACCGUGGAGGGUCAUUGGAAACUGGAAAACUUGAGUGCAGAAGAGGAAAGUGGAAUUCCAUGUGUAGCGGUGAAAUGCGCAGAGAUAUGGAGGAACACCAGUGGCGAAGGCGACUUUCUGGUCUGUAAUUGACGCUGAUGUGCGAAAGCGUGGGGAUCAAACAGGAUUAGAUACCCUGGUAGUCCACGCCGUAAACGAUGAGUGCUAAGUGUUAGGGGGUUUCCGCCCCUUAGUGCUGCAGCUAACGCAUUAAGCACUCCGCCUGGGGAGUACGACCGCAAGGUUGAAACUCAAAGGAAUUGACGGGGACCCGCACAAGCGGUGGAGCAUGUGGUUUAAUUCGAAGCAACGCGAAGAACCUUACCAAAUCUUGACAUCCUUUGACAACUCUAGAGAUAGAGCCUUCCCCUUCGGGGGACAAAGUGACAGGUGGUGCAUGGUUGUCGUCAGCUCGUGUCGUGAGAUGUUGGGUUAAGUCCCGCAACGAGCGCAACCCUUAAGCUUAGUUGCCAUCAUUAAGUUGGGCACUCUAAGUUGACUGCCGGUGACAAACCGGAGGAAGGUGGGGAUGACGUCAAAUCAUCAUGCCCCUUAUGAUUUGGGCUACACACGUGCUACAAUGGACAAUACAAAGGGCAGCGAAACCGCGAGGUCAAGCAAAUCCCAUAAAGUUGUUCUCAGUUCGGAUUGUAGUCUGCAACUCGACUACAUGAAGCUGGAAUCGCUAGUAAUCGUAGAUCAGCAUGCUACGGUGAAUACGUUCCCGGGUCU
This 1372-nucleotide ribosomal RNA is filed under the name uncultured bacterium. RNAcentral's name for it is "bacterial SSU rRNA". It matches the Rfam family "Bacterial small subunit ribosomal RNA", at positions 28 to 1381 of the family's 1533-position model. The record is from RNAcentral.